This 211-nucleotide long non-coding RNA is filed under the name Lathyrus oleraceus (garden pea). Its description in RNAcentral is "Pisum sativum (pea) long non-coding RNA (PSAT_LNC013189)". The record is from RNAcentral. Lineage: Eukaryota; Viridiplantae; Streptophyta; Magnoliopsida; Fabales; Fabaceae.
AAAAAUUGAUGGAACGGGAAAAAAAGCACUCACCGAAUGAGAAACACUCAGUUUGGUAUAAAAGAUGAAAUAGAAAAAAAAGAACUGAGUAACAAAAAUGAAAAAGAAAAGAACUAGAAAUGAUAUGUAGAACAAACACAGUGAAAAGAAUAAUGACAUUGACUCUAAACCCCAAACCACUUAUUUUUCCUUUUGUUUGUGUUUACCCCAC